GGAAGGGCAAUCAAGUCUACAGUGGUUCCCUCAGUGUAGCCACAAUCACCCACUUCUGCCCGUCAAAGAAAACACUACUGAGACACGUGGUCCAGACGUAUCAGCCUUAUUCAAGGGAGGGCUCCUGAUGGAAGUCACAGUUCGCAAAAGGGCAAGUUCCCUCAAAGACAGGUAAUAUUUUUGGAGUAACAGGAAGGGGGAAAUACAAUGUCCUAAUAAUCACGCCCAACAGAACCUAACCAAACCUUUCCAGCAGUUGGACUGGGCCAGCCUUGGCACAAAUAAGUACACAGGUGACUUUAGAUGCUGCAGUUGAUUUCAAACAGGUGUCUCUGAUUUCUUCCCCGACACAGUCUGGAUAACGUGGGGUCAGUAUGUGUUGUGUAGAAUAGAGACAAGGACAGUCACUGAGUGGUAUUCUGUUGAAGAAUCAGGGAACCCUUCCACUCUCCCUUUCAGCUCUUUCAAACCUUCCCUUUUCCAAGUGGCCCUUCCCGCCAAAGGAGUCUCAAAAAGGCGACCUGUUGUAGUAGCCUCCAAGGUGCGGUCCCAGCCGCUGCCCCACGUCUCCUGGGGAGUCCGGUGGCCGCCUCGACUCCUCGGGCCGUAUAUUUGCAGAGACGAGGUGCUGGGCGGUGGGCCGGACUGCGGGGGGCCGUUAGUAUAGAUCCUCCUUCCCCGCGUCUACGAGCACCCCCCGGGUUCUGCCGAAAGCGCUCGCCCAAUCUCCCCUUUACUCUCUUUUCAAGUUCAGCUCAGGUACAGUGUGACAGUUACAGCGCCCGGGAGCUGGCAGGCGCCGCCGCUGCCGCGGCAGCAGCAUCUGCUUCCGCGCAGAACGCGCUUCUCCCGCGGUACAUACCUGGUAAAGUGCGCGCCGGGGCUGAGUUGCAUAGAGACUUUCUCCUCGUCGUGCACCCGGAAAGGGCUCCCGAGAAAGCAGCUCGCGAACAGCCUAAGCCGACGCGCCGAUGGGAGCAUAAAUAAAGCUCAAGCGAGCUCUUCUUCCCCUUCCCCCAUCCCUCCGUGCCUCCCUCCUCCUUUUCACCUUCCAAAAGCCAGGAGCAGGCGAGCCGAGCAGCAGCAACAAGUUCAAAAGAAAUUCCUGUUUUUCCUCCUUGUAUUACAUUUUACAUACUGUGCUUGGCUGACAGAAAAUAAACUCAGCGAAAUCAAAAUUGAAUUCAUCACUUUUCUUCUUGAGUCAGCUACUCCUGUUUUCUCUCCUUGGGUAAAGCUUGAGCUGCCAUCUUGGUGUAGCCAGCACUCCAUCCAUCUCACAAUCUGAAGUCAGAAGUCUUGAGUUGGAGGUAAGCUUGAUAUAUGAACUUUUAAUGUAAGGAAUCACUUUUAGCAGUCUUUGUACAUGACAUAUACA
This 1378-nucleotide long non-coding RNA is filed under the name Bos indicus x Bos taurus (hybrid cattle). RNAcentral's name for it is "lncRNA (ENSBIXG00000020257.1)". The record is from RNAcentral. Lineage: Eukaryota; Metazoa; Chordata; Mammalia; Artiodactyla; Bovidae.